Small nuclear RNA from Carassius auratus (goldfish), 195 nucleotides. Its record names the gene U2. It matches the Rfam family "U2 spliceosomal RNA". From Rfam's summary of the family: U2 is a small nuclear RNA (snRNA) component of the spliceosome (involved in pre-mRNA splicing). The record is from Ensembl. Lineage: Eukaryota; Metazoa; Chordata; Actinopteri; Cypriniformes; Cyprinidae.
AUCGCUUCUCGGCCUUUUGGCUAAGAUCAAGUGUAGUAUCUGUUCUUAUCAGUUUAAUAUGCUGAUCGUCCCCCAUCCGGGGGACUACAUAUUAAGAUGGAUUUUUUAGAUCACGGAGCUGGAGCCGGCGGCUUUUGCUCCGUCCACUCCAUGCAUCGGCCUGGUAUUUGCAGUGUCGGGAGUUCUGUCACAUGC